UAUUUGUUGGUGUAAAGAGCAUAAAAAGUUUUGAUCUUUUAGGGAAUGGUGCAAAUCCGUUACAAAUAA
Molecule: transfer RNA, 69 nt
Filed under: Chiromantes haematocheir
Lineage: Eukaryota; Metazoa; Arthropoda; Malacostraca; Decapoda; Sesarmidae
Also listed under: 1 other name
Description: tRNA-Gln
Source: RNAcentral